UGUUCUUUUUUUUUUUUUUUCUUCCCUUUUAUUAUUUAUACCUGAACCUGAAGAAGUACUGAAAUGGCGAAACAUCUCACCAAGGAUUCCUUUCACGAAGGAAUAAAGAUUUGGCCCUUAAACUUUUUACAAUGGGUCAAUGCAGACAUUUUUCUUUACUUUUAUGGCCAAAUAGGUGCUCCCUCUAUUUUAAAAUGAAAGUGCUAAGAAUCUUCUCUCUUUUUCUAAUCAUUUGUUUUAUUAGUAUAAUUAUUUUUUAGACAAAGUAUUCACUACAAAUAUAAAAAGAAAAAUACAAGUAAUAUUAAG
This 309-nucleotide long non-coding RNA is filed under the name Ricinus communis (castor bean). RNAcentral describes it as "long non-coding RNA (RCOM_LNC001622)". The record is from RNAcentral. Lineage: Eukaryota; Viridiplantae; Streptophyta; Magnoliopsida; Malpighiales; Euphorbiaceae.